AGACAUCGCUGCGGCCGGGAUAGGGCGCCGCCGUUCUGGCCGGCUUUCUCGGUGCCCUGGAGGACCUGGCCGGCUCCGCGGGAAGCUGUACUCAGAGCGCGCGGCCGCCCUCUGGCAGGGAGGAGUUCGUUGCACUUUUGAGGGUUCUUCACGAAGACAUCCAAUACAUAGAAAACAAGUAACAGCAACAGUAACGAAUUUUUAAAUAUUAAAAUUGCUGGGGAACACGACGGAUCCUGCAGCUGCUCGGCUGUCCCGGUCGUCAGUGACGCUAGGGCUCCGCACCGUACCCUGCAUACCGUAGGUGCUCACGAAACGUUCGUGAGUUCCCUGCUCUGAGGAAACAAGCUUAAAAACUCAGAAUCUAAGGUGUGAGUCUCCGCAAACCUGCUUGUUGGGCAGCGUCCCCCGCCCGGGCUAGCCCUGCACGCCCCACCCCGGAGCCACGCUUCUCCAGCCGGGACCCCUGCCUCCUUCCAGGCUAUUCUCGGAACCGCAGCCAGAGGGAAUUUUUUUUUCCUUUCCUGAAACGUAGAGCAGAUCUGGUUACUCUUCUGCACAACGCCCUAAAAUCUAGGGCCCUUCCCAUCCCUCAGAAUUUACAUCUAAUUCUCAGCUCCCCUCCGGCUUGCUGUAGCCAUCCUGGCUUUUGUUUAGCACAGCACUUACUGUUAGUGACAUUAUAUUGUAUAUUAUUAACAUAUUUGUGUUUUACAUCCCUCACUAGACCCCCAGGAAAGAGGCUUUGAUGUGUUGCCUGCUGCAAGGCUGGCUGCAUAAUUUGUGGAGCUCAGAGAAAAGUGCGGAGCUUCCUUGUUCAAAAAACAGAAAGAAAGUGCCUCUGAGGUCAUAAAAUAUAAAACUUUCUCUUUCCUCUCAGUUUCUCUCUUUUCAUAGUGUUUUUAUGUGUUAUUUAAUAUCAUUCCAAGAAAAAUUUAGAUUUAAAUUGUUAGCAUGAAGUUCACCAUCCAUCUUUACGUUGUGCAAUGCCAGUUUUAAAUACUAAUAUAAGUGCACUGAUCUCAUAUGUGGAAUCACAGAAAUUAUGCAAUUUGUACUUCAUAGCUUAUACAUGCAUAUAGAUUUUGUUUUUACCAGAACCACGCUGGUAAAAACAGAUGCUGCACAAAGUGAACUUGCCCGUUUUCAUCGCACUUUACGUGCACGAAUUCUACCUCUACUCUCGACCUGGGACUCACCGAUGCGUAAGGAAGGACUGAAAAGCAAAAGAACUAUGGACUGGCCUUUUGGCAUGAUCAGGUGUCUAAUAUAAAGAAGUGCAUGAAUAAGAAAAUAUAUGAUAUGAGUGAUGGUUAAUACUGACUGUCAACUUGAUUGGAUUGAAGGAUGCAAAGUAUUGAUCCUGGGUGUGUCUGUGAGGGUGUUGCCAAAGGAGAUUAACAUUUGAGUCAGUGGGCUGGGAAAGUUCGACCCACUGUUAAUCUAGAUGGACACCAUCUAAUCAGAUGCCAGUGCAGCUAGAAAUGUAAAGCAGACAGAAAAAUGCGAAAAGAGAGACUGGCCUAGCCUGCCAGCCUACAUCUUUCUCCCACGCUGGAUGCUUCCUGCCCUCGAACAUCAGACUCCAAGUUCUUCAGUUUGGGACUUGGACUGGCUCUCCUUGUUCCUCAGCUUGAAGACUGCCCAUUGUGGGACUUGUGAUCAUGUGCCAUGAUAAAUAAGCCAGUUUGAGUCACUUGGUCUAAUAUCGAGACCACGAACAUAUUGAUCACAGAAUGUGUUAGGAUAACAGAAGUUCAAGAGGAAAGGACAGUGAGAGACCAUGACUAAAGAAUUACUCCGUGAACAACUCAGGAGGACCAGCUAUGAUUUCACUCUCAUUCAAAAAAGAGAAAUAAUAUUUCUUUCAGCUGCUACCCAUAAAAUAUUUUUGAAUGUGUGUACAAUGUUCAUGCUGUAAUGGCUGCUCUAUCAUGAAGGAUGUGUUGACACCUCGUGGGUGGCUUUUCACAAUCCCCUUGGACACAGAUUGGGGGAUUGACGGCCCCAUCCCCUCAUUUUCCACACCGAGGGGCAGUUGGGAUAUGCAUAAAAUCUUGUUCUCUAGUUAGGACCUGUUGCUAUAAAUCUAGCAUCAAGAGUAUCACUAUUUUCUAAACACUUUGCCAGACAGCCUUCGGAGUAUAAUUUUCUGAAGUUUAUAAAGCAUAACUCAUACACACACCUAGUGACCAUGUUCUGAAGGUAUAUUUAACUCCUGCAUGAGGGAACAGGCAGGAUGAAAGUGGGUUCUAAGGAAGAGACUAGCAUAUAUGAUCAACGGGGAAAAAUGAAGAGUAAGCUUGAAACCGCCUUUGCAAAAAUUAUAACCGAGGAGAUUAUGACAGUGAAGGAGAUCAGACCUAACCGACCCCAUCUUGCUUCUAACCUUUAAGCUGUCCUUGUUCAUUCCUGGGUGUAGGCCGAACUAACUUUGGGAAGGAAUUUGUUCGUGGUUUGACUCUGAAACAAAAAAAUUGAUAAUAGCCCUUUCCCGAAAAGACCGCCUUCUUGCCUGGGGACCAGUCUGCCUUUGCAGGACCAACAAAUUAACUACGAGAUUAGAAAUUACAGUUUAGGGGUCCUGCAGCCUCUGACUCCAAGAGUCUGACCCUCCCCACAUUGCUUCUGGGGAUAACAUCACUAUUAUAAAACCUAAGAUCAGUGCUUGAGAUAUUUUGCAGACCCUGCACUGGAUGGAUCAGCUGACACCACCCAGACCCGUAAUCUGGAUCAACCAGUUCUGCCAUCCCACCCAGGAACAGAAGAUGCAAGAAAAACUCACUUUGACCCUCUAUGAUUCCAUCUCCAACCUGACCAAUCAGUACUCCCCACUUCCCAAGCCCCUGCCUGCCAAAUUAUCUUUAAAAACUCUGAUCCCCGAAUGCUUGGAGAGGCUGAUUUGAGUAACAACACAACUCUGGUCUCCUGCACAGCCAGUUCUGUGUGAACUACCCUUCGCCCAUUGCAAUUCCCCUGUCUUGAUAAAUUGGCUCUGUCGAGGCAGUGGGCAAGGUGAACCCACUGGGCAGUUACAAGACUGCAAAGUUAGAAACAAAACUGGCAAUGCCCCAUGGGUCAAAAAUAAUCAAUUAAUUCAUAACAUUUGACUUGAUUAAGUUUUCUACUGGACAGAAACAAUUUGCAACUUAUCCUUCCUCUACAUUGUUUGACUGCCAUGUCAAUUGUAAGUAUUAGAUCAAAUUUUAAAAUAAUUAUUUUAGAGCUUCAGAUGCACCUUACAUGGGCUUGUUAGAUUGUUAGACACUGCUUAGUGACAUUGAAAGAGGGCACAAUACUUUUUUUGCCUUAUUUCUAAGUUGUGGGUAUCCUUUUCUUAACACUUCUUUUCUGUGAUUCUAUGCAAGACAAUCGUUGAUGAAAUGGGAUUUUCUGGAUGGAAAGUCCGUGUACUUUACUGAAACCUCUUUCUACAGUUCUGUCUUUCAAGUGGGAUUCUGUGAGCUGACUCAUGACAGCUGAGCAUCAUCGGAGAUUGGCUUCAAUGGUCCUCAAUGUGCAGAACAUAAAUAGCAAUUUCUACCAUCAUUCAAUAGCAUUUGUGGGUCCUUUUAUAUGGAGUAUAUAAAAGUAUUUGCAGGUCUUGGUUUAUCUGUCCCCACGUGACAUACCUAUAGAACAGGUAUUUUCAUCCCAGCUACUUAUUAUAAAUAUUUAAUAAGUAGGCUAAUGGUUUGGAAUUCUAUUUCUCUAUUUGCAUGAGUCAAAUAAUAGACCAAAUUCUUUCAAAAAGAGGAGAUGUUAACAUACCAAAAGAAACUGAAACAAGAGCAUUGAACCCACGGUGCCCUUCAGAAACACCUGCCAACAAUGGGGCAGAGUGUCCAGCUGCCUGGACAGUGUGUGCAGGGGCGGGGCCCUUCCUGUUCACAAUGGCUUUGCCUGGCAGUUAAAAUGCAAAUGGAGGGCAGACUGAGAGUGCAUCACCCUCUCACAUCUCAGAGUCUAAAAGGCGGCCUUUCAGUGCCUUCUGUUCAAAUUGCAAAUGCUCUUCCUUUAUCCCCCAAGGCCUGGGAGACAGUUCUGAAUAAUUCUUCCCCAACAAAUUGGCUUUCCUCUUCCCAGCAACAAAAGCCCUUAUUGGUUUUAAAAGUGCAAAGAACAAAUUUUAUUCAAGGGUCUUAAGGCAGAUGAAGGUUCACAGAAACUACAAGGGCAGUUCCAGGGCCUCCACGUACGACCGUGUCCCUAUAACGACUGGUCCUUAUAAGAGGCCAGCAACAGUAUCUUAUUUUCCUGUACAGGCCUGGGAUUCCCAGUAAUUUCUUUGCAUUGGCUUUGUAAGCACAAUUACCCAGAGUUUCCGAGAAUUGGGACAUUUCCAAGAAAUUGCCCAAUGGGUCAGUGGAGUGCUGUCAAAUGAGAUGGACCAUCUUAAAAUCAAAACGUGGGUGGUUUCUGCUCAUUGCUGAGCAUUUCACUUCCAUUCUGAAAAGUCUAAGAACGUCACUCCAGGAGAUACAAUGUCAAGGGCUCCCGCCACUCUUCAUCAUUGCCCAAGUCAUAAGAAUCAUCCCCCAAAUUCCUUCUAUUUCUCCAAGGUAGGGUAACCCAGGGCUGGGUAAGCCUGUUAGGGCAGGUCAGGUUGGCACAUACCGAGGAGGAACUCAGACAGACAGACAGCGCCAGGGGACCAGCGGCACUGUGUGCUCAUCACCACCCUCAGGGAUUCAAGGGCCUUGUCCUGGUACCUGGGUCACCUUCUGAAAUAAGUGCUACUGAGGUUCAUGGCCAAGACCCUUCCAGGAAAUUCAGAAGGAGGUUGGCUUCAGUGGGAAAGUAGUCUGUGACCCAGAAGGUGUUUAUUCAACAAGGUGCAAGCUGACAACAUGUUUCUUUGCUCUGGACACUGGAAUUAAACUCCUAAGAGACCCUA
This 4897-nucleotide long non-coding RNA is filed under the name Homo sapiens (human). Its description in RNAcentral is "COPS8 divergent transcript, transcript variant 6 (COPS8-DT)". Lineage: Eukaryota; Metazoa; Chordata; Mammalia; Primates; Hominidae. The record is from RNAcentral.